GCGGGACACGUGGUAUCCUGUCUGAAUAUGGGGGGACCAUCCUCCAAGGCUAAAUACUCCUGACUGACCGAUAGUGAACCAGUACCGUGAGGGAAAGGCGAAAAGAACCCCGGCGAGGGGAGUGAAAAAGAACCUGAAACCGUGUACGUACAAGCAGUGGGAGCCUCUUAAUGGGGUGACUGCGUACCUUUUGUAUAAUGGGUCAGCGACUUAUAUUCUGUAGCAAGGUUAACCGAAUAGGGGAGCCGAAGGGAAACCGAGUCUUAACUGGGCGCUAAGUUGCAGGGUAUAGACCCGAAACCCGGUGAUCUAGCCAUGGGCAGGUUGAAGGUUGGGUAACACUAACUGGAGGACCGAACCGACUAAUGUUGAAAAAUUAGCGGAUGACUUGUGGCUGGGGGUGAAAGGCCAAUCAAACCGGGAGAUAGCUGGUUCUCCCCGAAAGCUAUUUAGGUAGCGCCUCGUGAAUUCAUCUCCGGGGGUAGAGCACUGUUUCGGCAAGGGGGUCAUCCCGACUUACCAACCCGAUGCAAACUGCGAAUACCGGAGAAUGUUAUCACGGGAGACACACGGCGGGUGCUAACGUCCGUCGUGAAGAGGGAAACAACCCAGACCGCCAGCUAAGGUCCCAAAGUCAUGGUUAAGUGGGAAACGAUGUGGGAAGGCCCAGACAGCCAGGAUGUUGGCUUAGAAGCAGCCAUCAUUUAAAGAAAGCGUAAUAGCUCACUGGUCGAGUCGGCCUGCGCGGAAGAUGUAACGGGGCUAAACCAUGCACCGAAGCUGCGGCAGCGACACUAUGUGUUGUUGGGUAGGGGAGCGUUCUGUAAGCCUGUGAAGGUGGCCUGUGAGGGUUGCUGGAGGUAUCAGAAGUGCGAAUGCUGACAUAAGUAACGAUAAAGCGGGUGAAAAGCCCGCUCGCCGGAAGACCAAGGGUUCCUGUCCAACGUUAAUCGGGGCAGGGUGAGUCGACCCCUAAGGCGAGGCCGAAAGGCGUAGUCGAUGGGAAACAGGUUAAUAUUCCUGUACUUGGUGUUACUGCGAAGGGGGGACGGAGAAGGCUAUGUUGGCCGGGCGACGGUUGUCCCGGUUUAAGCGUGUAGGCUGGUUUUCCAGGCAAAUCCGGAAAACCAAGGCUGAGGCGUGAUGACGAGGCACUACGGUGCUGAAGCGACAAAUGCCCUGCUUCCAGGAAAAGCCUCUAAGCAUCAGGUAACAUCAAAUCGUACCCCAAACCGACACAGGUGGUCAGGUAGAGAAUACCAAGGCGCUUGAGAGAACUCGGGUGAAGGAACUAGGCAAAAUGGUGCCGUAACUUCGGGAGAAGGCACGCUGAUAUGUAGGUGAAGCGACUUGCUCGUGGAGCUGAAAUCAGUCGAAGAUACCAGCUGGCUGCAACUGUUUAUUAAAAACACAGCACUGUGCAAACACGAAAGUGGACGUAUACGGUGUGACGCCUGCCCGGUGCCGGAAGGUUAAUUGAUGGGGUUAGCGGUAACGCGAAGCUCUUGAUCGAAGCCCCGGUAAACGGCGGCCGUAACUAUAACGGUCCUAAGGUAGCGAAAUUCCUUGUCGGGUAAGUUCCGACCUGCACGAAUGGCGUAAUGAUGGCCAGGCUGUCUCCACCCGAGACUCAGUGAAAUUGAACUCGCUGUGAAGAUGCAGUGUACCCGCGGCAAGACGGAAAGACCCCGUGAACCUUUACUAUAGCUUGACACUGAACAUUGAGCCUUGAUGUGUAGGAUAGGUGGGAGGCUUUGAAGUGUGGACGCCAGUCUGCAUGGAGCCGACCUUGAAAUACCACCCUUUAAUGUUUGAUGUUCUAACGUUGGCCCCUAAUCGGGGUUGCGGACAGUGUCUGGUGGGUAGUUUGACUGGGGCGGUCUCCUCCUAAAGAGUAACGGAGGAGCACGAAGGUUGGCUAAUCCUGGUCGGACAUCAGGAGGUUAGUGCAAUGGCAUAAGCCAGCUUGACUGCGAGCGUGACGGCGCGAGCAGGUGCGAAAGCAGGUCAUAGUGAUCCGGUGGUUCUGAAUGGAAGGGCCAUCGCUCAACGGAUAAAAGGUACUCCGGGGAUAACAGGCUGAUACCGCCCAAGAGUUCAUAUCGACGGCGGUGUUUGGCACCUCGAUGUCGGCUCAUCACAUCCUGGGGCUGAAGUAGGUCCCAAGGGUAUGGCUGUUCGCCAUUUAAAGUGGUACGCGAGCUGGGUUUAGAACGUCGUGAGACAGUUCGGUCCCUAUCUGCCGUGGGCGCUGGAGAACUGAGGGGGGCUGCUCCUAGUACGAGAGGACCGGAGUGGACGCAUCACUGGUGUUCGGGUUGUCAUGCCAAUGGCACUGCCCGGUAGCUAAAUGCGGAAGAGAUAAGUGCUGAAAGCAUCUAAGCACGAAACUUGCCCCGAGAUGAGUUCUCCCUGAGACUUAGAGUCUCCUGAAGGAACGUUGAAGACGACGACGUUGAUAGGCCGGGUGUGUAAGCGCAGCGAUGCGUUGAGCUAACCGGUACUAAUGAACCGUGAGGCUUAACCUU
This 2528-nucleotide ribosomal RNA is filed under the name Escherichia coli. RNAcentral's name for it is "partial 23S ribosomal RNA". It matches the Rfam family "Bacterial large subunit ribosomal RNA", at positions 417 to 2925 of the family's 2925-position model. Lineage: Bacteria; Pseudomonadati; Pseudomonadota; Gammaproteobacteria; Enterobacterales; Enterobacteriaceae. The record is from RNAcentral.